Molecule: long non-coding RNA, 579 nt
Organism: Notolabrus celidotus (New Zealand spotty)
Lineage: Eukaryota; Metazoa; Chordata; Actinopteri; Labriformes; Labridae
Exons: 3
Source: RefSeq, a predicted model, not a curated record
CACAGAGGCAGACUUGGGGACUUUGCCAGAUGGGGAUUUAGGUUUCUCUGGCGUCUCCAGCUGGUGGGCGAUGCGUCUGGACGCCCCUCUCCGGAAGGACGGCCUGGUGCCUGUACUAUUGCUCCGCAGUCUGAUGCGUCGCAGGUUGGAAACCACACCAUCUGUGAUCAGGAGCAGAGAUGGCAAAGCGAGGCAUGAUGUCCAGGCUCUGGGUACUGUUCAUCACCAGUGGACUUGCACUGCGCUCUGACUGAGAGGAGCUAGAUGAAGCACGAGGGCGCAGACUGCGAGGGUAACGUCAGUCCAAUUUUUCAAAUGAGUGCAAUCUGUUCAGGGCCAUGGAGAGACCCAGAGCCUUUGCUAGUGUUCACUGUAUAGAAAGCAGGUAACACAACACUUCCAGUGACACACAUGAGCAAAAAGCCUCUUGUCCUACAUGUCAGGCAUCCUGAGAAACCCCCACAUUAUAAAUAAAAGCUUCAAUGUUGACUUUUAGAAUCAUUAAUCAUAAUUAGUAUAAUCCUGAAAGAAUAUUUAUGAGCUAUGAUAUUACACUUCCAUCUCACAUUUUUCAUUUUC